Molecule: non-coding RNA, 56 nt
Filed under: unclassified sequences
Source: RNAcentral
GGGUGACGGCGGCCUCAUCAUGAGGCCGUAAACCCACGGGCCGGUCCGAAGUCCGG